This is an RNA transcript of Tupaia belangeri chinensis (Chinese tree shrew), 1641 nucleotides long. It is a transcript of the gene named centrin-4-like, with no coding region annotated. The transcript is spliced from 6 exons. The record is from RefSeq and is a predicted model, not a curated record. NCBI's taxonomy places the organism in Eukaryota, Metazoa, Chordata, Mammalia, Scandentia, Tupaiidae.
AUGCUAUCUAUCGGGUUGUUGGAAAAAUCAUGUCGUAUUUUUCUAAGUCUAAUGCCCAAGUCUUGGCAUUACUGAGUUACCUGGAUUGUCAGGCUGUGUAGCACUCAAGCAUUCGACGUAUACUUGUUGUGGCUGGACAAAUGGCCACAGCUCGAGGGUGUGGGUGUUGGAUAAUGGUUACGGGUGUGGCCCAAGUUCUACCCCACAAAGGAGCGCUGCAUACAACGUACAUUCUCGCCUAUGCAGUGCAGCGUCGCGUGCAUCCCAGACCCAUCCUAUCCUCACGCCCACUGCCCUCCACCCACUCUGCUGCCCGACCUUCCAAAUGCAGAAAUCCUGGCGUCUUUCACGCUAGAUUCGCUGCCCGGACCAGGGAGGAAAGCAAUGGCUAAAGGCCAGGCCCAGGCACUGUGGAUGAUGACGAACGUCCAGCGGCGGGAACACAGGACAGUCCCAUCCGCUGCUACUACUCCCCGCCGGCUUCAGGACCAUUCUGGACCCCAGGCCUACCUGGUCCUGGAUUGUCAUCUUUUCCCGCCAGCGGAGGCAUCCAACUGCCAUACAAGUGCAGACCAGUGGAAGAGAAGAACAACAAAAAUCGAAUUGAAUGAAACCCAAAAGCAAGAGAUUAAAGAGGCCUUUGAUUUAUUCGACAUCGAUGGGUCUGGAACCAUAGAUGUGAAAGAAUUGAAGAUUGCAAUGUGGGCCUUAGGAUUUGAACCAAAGAAAGAAGAAAUUAAAAGAAUGAUAGCCGAAAUGGACAGCGAAGGAACUGGCACUAUUAGUUUCGAAGACUUUUUUGCCAUUAUGAGUAUAAAAAUGAGUGAAAAGGAUGAAAAUGAAGAACUAUUGAAGGCUUUCAAAUUAUUCGAUGAUGAUAAUACUGGAGGCAUAACACUGAACAAUAUCAAGAGGGUUGCUAAGGAACUAGGGGAAAAUCUAACAGAUGAGGAACUUUAGGUCACCAAGAAUCACCAUACCAUGACAGACACGAAGUGAGCACGCACUGUUAAAAAAUGGUGCCAAUGCACUUGCUGGAUGCAGGGUUGCCACCAACCUUCCAUUGGUAAAGCAUGGCGUCUCUGCAAAAUGUAAAUCGGAAAGCACAGUAACAUGAGGAAAUGCUUGAUGAAGCUGAUCGUGAUGGGGAUGGACAAAUAAAUGAGGAAGAAUUUUUGAGAAUGAUGAAAAAGACUUCUCUUCAUUAAUAUUGGUUUUUUUUUUUUUUGGAGGGAGUCCUUUUAGAAAAUUAAUGAAUUUGUAUUUAUUAUACAGCUCAAUAAUUUAACAUCUGAAUGUAUUCUUUUUCACUUUUUAGUUGAUAUGCUUUUGAUGUCUAAUCCAUGUGAGAAGAUACAUGUUUCUACAUAUGUUACAUCUACAGCAUCUAGAAACAAAGAAAACACGACUCCUGGGAGCCGUGACUCUUAAGAACAGUAUUCAUUCUAACUGCUGCUUUUAAAGCUCUAGGUUGAGUGGGCCCUGCAUCCAGAUGAAUCUGGCAAAGAAACCAUCACUUUCUCUUUUGUUCUCCUUUUGUGCAACUCUAAGACACUGAUUAACAUUUGCUUUUUAAUCAGUUACUCAAAUAUGUAAGGUAUUAAAUAAAACUGUCUAGCAACUACAUGCUUUGCCAAUUUU